This 327-nucleotide ribosomal RNA is filed under the name uncultured eukaryote. Its description in RNAcentral is "partial 18S ribosomal RNA". It matches the Rfam family "Eukaryotic small subunit ribosomal RNA", at positions 1470 to 1796 of the family's 1831-position model. The record is from RNAcentral.
CCCUUAGAUGUUCUGGGCCGCACACGCGCUACACUGAAGGAGGCAGCGUGUACUCCUGGAUCGAAAGAUUUGGGUAACCCGCGAAUCUCCUUCGAGCUAGGGAUUGAGGUUUGCAAUUAUCCUUCAUGAACGAGGAAUUCCCAGUAAGUGCAAGUCAUAAGCUUGCGCUGACUACGUCCCUGCCCUUUGUACACACCGCCCGUCGCUACUACCGAUUGAAUGAUUUAGUGAGGACUUCGGACUGGGACCGAUGCGGCUUUCGGGCUGCGUCGGUAUUCUGGAAAGAUGUCCAAACUGUAUCAUUUAGAGGAAGUAAAAGUCGUAACA